ACGCACGCUGGCGGCAUGCCUCACCCCUGCCAGUCGCACGAGACCUUCGGGUCUAGUGGCGCACGGGUGCGUCACGCGUGGGAACCUGCCCUUAGGUUCGGAAUAACUCCCCGAAAGGGGUGCUAAUACCGGAUAAUGUCUUCGGACCAAAGAUUUAUCGCCUUUGGAUGGGCCCGCGUUGGAUUAGCUAGUUGGUAGGGUAAAAGCCUACCAAGGCGACGAUCCAUAGCUGGUCUGAGAGGAUGAUCAGCCACACUGGGACUGAGACACGGCCCAGACUCCUACGGGAGGCAGCAGUGGGGAAUAUUGGACAAUGGGCGAAAGCCUGAUCCAGCAAUGCCGCGUGAGUGAUGAAGGCCUUAGGGUUGUAAAGCUCUUUUACCCGGGAUGAUAAUGACAGUACCGGGAGAAUAAGCUCCGGCUAACUCCGUG
This 432-nucleotide ribosomal RNA is filed under the name uncultured bacterium. Its description in RNAcentral is "partial 16S ribosomal RNA". It matches the Rfam family "Bacterial small subunit ribosomal RNA", at positions 29 to 507 of the family's 1533-position model. The record is from RNAcentral.